Molecule: long non-coding RNA, 823 nt
Organism: Mytilus californianus (California mussel)
Lineage: Eukaryota; Metazoa; Mollusca; Bivalvia; Mytilida; Mytilidae
Exons: 2
Source: RefSeq, a predicted model, not a curated record
CCAUUCCUAUUUUUAAAAGGGGACAAAAAUAAAAUUUAUAUAUAAUAACAGGGUGAUACAAAUGAGAAAAACUCAAGAAAUUGUUUUCAAUUAAGAUAAAUACAUGGUUUUCAGUUGUUUUUAAAGCAGAGGCAGAUUUAGUUUAAAGUUGGAAAAAAUUGUUUGUACCAACAAAAAUAAAUACACAAAGUUAAUCCAGAAUUAUGUGUUUAUCAUUUUUUUUUAUGUUUAGGUUGCCAGAAAGAUGAAAAGAACAAAGCAGUUCAAAAGUCAAAAUGUGGAUAAGCUGAGGUACAAGGUCCUACUUUUGCAGAUUUUCAUAUUUUGCAUGAAUGAAUUUGAAGUUUAUAUCAUGGAGGGCAGAGAAAGAAAAGAAACACUUCAGUUUUCCUGCUUCUGAAGGAUAAAUGUAAAACAUCUUGUUUGAAGGAUUGAAAUUCAUCACUGAGAAUAAAAGGAGAAAACAAAGAAACAAGACCAAAAUAAAUUCAAAGACAAAAGUCAGAUCAGUUAUUAUUUUCAUCACUCAGCCAAUGAAUUGAAGUUCUAUUAAAUAUCUAAAGAUAUUAAAACCACAAUAAUGACAAUGUUCUGUGCUGAAUGGCAAAAAAGUGGACUAUACAUUACGAUCACACAAUGCUGGAUGAUAAGAAACUAUUAAUUUUUUGGGUGGAGGGAUAUCCUGAAAAAAAAAUAGAUUUAUGUAAAAAGCUACUAGUAUGUUAAGCCUUUUAAUAGAGUUUUCAUUGAUUUCAAAUGGGAAAAAAUUGUGUUUCAAAAAAGUAUUCUAGAAUUCAUAAAUAAACAUAUAUUGAUACUUACA